Molecule: ribosomal RNA, 777 nt
Filed under: uncultured Neocallimastigales
Lineage: Eukaryota; Fungi; Neocallimastigomycota; Neocallimastigomycetes; Neocallimastigales
Description: partial large subunit ribosomal RNA
Rfam family: Eukaryotic large subunit ribosomal RNA
Source: RNAcentral
GUAGUCUCGCACAGAUGCAUAUCAAUAAGCGGAGGAAAAGAAACUAACAAGGAUUCCCUUAGUAACGGCGAGUGAAGCGGGAAGAGCUCAAAUUUGAAAUCUUCAAGGUUUUACCUUGACGAAUUGUAGUUUAAAGAAGUGUUUUCUGUUGAAGUUUUGGUAAAAGUUCUUUGGAAUAGGACAUCAUAGAGGGUGAGAAUCCCGUAUUUGACCAUUGUUUUCAGCUGUGUGAUACACUUUCAAAGAGUCGGAUUGUUUGGGAAUGCAGUCCAAAAUGGGUGGUAAAUUUCAUCUAAAGCUAAAUAUUGGCGAGAGACCGAUAGCGAACAAGUACCGUGAGGGAAAGAUGAAAAGAACUUUGAAAAGAGAGUUAAACAGUACGUGAAAUUGUCAAAAGGGAAGCGUUUGACACCAGUGUUGUUUUCUCGAAAAUCAAUUAAAAAGAGUUUGAUUUUGUUGUGUAUUGACCUUAACAGCUUGCAUUUCAAUUUUCUUGCUUUUUUUAAUGCACUUUUCGUUUAACAAGUCAACAUCAGUUUCUUUUGUUGUAAAAAGGUCAUUGGAAAGGUGGCUUUCUUUUCGGAGAAAGUGUUUAUAGCCUUUGACUCCUGCAAUCGGAGAGACUGAGGUCUGCAGCGUAGAUCCUUCGGGGUUAGAUACAUUUGUGCUAAGUUAUAGCAUUUUUAUAGACAACUUGUUGACUAUGAUUUAGUCUUGUAGCUUACUCGCUUAUGCUAUUUUACCUACGCUCAGGAUGUUGAGCGCAUGUCUCUCUCU